Molecule: ribosomal RNA, 152 nt
Filed under: fungal endophyte sp. AP180
Lineage: Eukaryota; Fungi
Description: 5.8S ribosomal RNA
Rfam family: 5.8S ribosomal RNA
About the family: 5.8S ribosomal RNA (5.8S rRNA) is a component of the large subunit of the eukaryotic ribosome. It is transcribed by RNA polymerase I as part of the 45S precursor that also contains 18S and 28S rRNA.
Source: RNAcentral
AAACUUUCAACAACGGAUCUCUUGGUUCUGGCAACGAUGAAGAACGCAGCGAAAUGCGAUAAUUAAUGUGAAUUGCAGAAUUCAGUGAAUCAUCGAAUCUUUAACGCACAUGCGCCUCCUGGUAUUCCGGAAGGCACGCCUGUCGAGGCAUU